RNAcentral lists this ribosomal RNA (585 nucleotides) under uncultured bacterium. Its description in RNAcentral is "partial 16S ribosomal RNA". It matches the Rfam family "Bacterial small subunit ribosomal RNA", at positions 355 to 1375 of the family's 1533-position model. The record is from RNAcentral.
UGGGGAAUUUUGGACAAUGGGCGAAAGCCUGAUCCAGCAAUGCCGCGUUGUGAUGAAGCAGCUUCGGGUUGUAAAGCACUUUUGUCCGGAAAGAAAUCCUUGGCUCUAAUACAGUCGGGGGAUGACGGUACCGGAAGAAUAAGCACCGGCUAACUACGUGCCAGCAGCCGCGGUAAUACGUAGGGUGCAAGCGUUAAUCGGAAUUACUGGGCGUAAAGCGUGCGCAGGCGGUUUGCUAAGACCGAUGUGAAAUCCCCGGGCUCAACCUGGGAACUGCAUUGGUGACUGGCAGGCUAGAGUAUGGCAGAGGGGGGUAGAAUUCCACGUGUAGCAGUGAAAUGCGUAGAGAUGUGGAGGAAUACCGAUGGCGAAGGCAGCCCCCUGGGCCAAUACUGACGCUCAUGCACGAAAGCGUGGGGAGCAAACAGGAUUAGAUACCCUGGUAGUCCACGCCCUAAACGAUGUCAACUAGUUGUUGGGGAUUCAUUUCCUUAGUAACGUAGCUAACGCGUGAAGUUGACCGCCUGGGGAGUACGGUCGCAAGAUUAAAACUUAAAUGAAUUGACGGGGUCAUAGCUGUUUCCU